RNAcentral lists this ribosomal RNA (389 nucleotides) under uncultured bacterium. RNAcentral describes it as "bacterial SSU rRNA". It matches the Rfam family "Bacterial small subunit ribosomal RNA", at positions 28 to 418 of the family's 1533-position model. The record is from RNAcentral.
GACGAACGCUGGCGGCGUGCUUAACACAUGCAAGUCGAGCGGUAAGGCCCUUUCGGGGGUACACGAGCGGCGAACGGGUGAGUAACACGUGGGUGACCUGCCCUCAGCUCUGGGAUAAGCCUGGGAAACUGGGUCUAAUACUGGAUAUGACUCCACGGUGCAUGUCGUGGGGUGGAAAGCCUUGUGCGGCUGAGGAUGGGCCCGCGGCCUAUCAGCUUGUUGGUGGGGUGANGGCCUACCAAGGCGACGACGGGUAGCCGGCCUGAGAGGGCGACCGGCCACACUGGGACUGAGACACGGCCCAGACUCCUACGGGAGGCAGCAGUGGGGAAUCUUGCGCAAUGGGCGAAAGCCUGACGCAGCGACGCCGCGUGAGGGAUGACGGCCUC